Molecule: ribosomal RNA, 253 nt
Filed under: uncultured bacterium
Lineage: Bacteria
Description: partial 16S ribosomal RNA
Rfam family: Bacterial small subunit ribosomal RNA
Source: RNAcentral
UACGUAGGGGGCAAGCGUUGUCCGGAAUUAUUGGGCGUAAAGAGCGUGUAGGCGGUCCGGUAAGUCGGCUGUGAAAGUCCAGGGCUCAACCCUGGGAUGCCGGUCGAUACUGCCGGACUAGAGUUCGGAAGAGGCGAGUGGGAUUCCCGGUGUAGCGGUGAAAUGCGCAGAUAUCGGGAGGAACACCUAUGGCGAAGGCAGCUCGCUGGGACGUUACUGACGCUGAGACGCGAAAGCGUGGGGAGCAAACAGG